Molecule: ribosomal RNA, 497 nt
Filed under: uncultured bacterium
Lineage: Bacteria
Description: partial 16S ribosomal RNA
Rfam family: Bacterial small subunit ribosomal RNA
Source: RNAcentral
GAUGAACGCUGGCGGCGUGCCUAACACAUGCAAGUCGAGCGGACAGACGGUGAGCUUUCGCCUUUGCGGGUAGCGGCGGACGGGUGGGUAACACGUGGAUAACCUUCCUCUAAUUCUUGGGUAACUUCGGGGAACCGGUUCUGAUACCGGAGAAUAUGUUGUACGGCUUGGUUCAAGGGUUCUACACGCUUUUCCCGUUACUUUUAGAUGGUGUCGGGUCGGAUUAGCUAGUUGGUAAGGUAACGGCUUACCAAGGCUACGAUGCGUAGCCGAGCUGAGAGGGUGAUCGGCCACACUGGAACUGAGACACGGUCCAGACUCCUACGGGAGGCAGCAGUGGGGAAUAUUGGACAAUGGGCGAAAGCCUGACCGAGCCACGCCGCGUGAGUGAAGAAGGUCUUCGGAUCGUAAAGCUCUGUUAUUAGGAAAGAAAAGAAGUGUAAGUAAACCUGGAUGUCUUGACGGUACCUAAUGAAAAAGCCCCGGCUAACUACGUG